Molecule: ribosomal RNA, 787 nt
Filed under: uncultured Pseudomonadota bacterium
Lineage: Bacteria; Pseudomonadati; Pseudomonadota
Description: bacterial SSU rRNA
Rfam family: Bacterial small subunit ribosomal RNA
Source: RNAcentral
AAAGCCCCGCAAGGGGUCAGUAGAGUGGCAAACGGGUGAGUAACACGUGGGUGACCUGCCUUCGAGUGGGGGAUAACGUCCCGAAAGGGACGCUAAUACCGCAUGACAUCCUGCUUUUUAAGAGGCGGAGAUCAAAGCCGGGGAUCGCAAGACCUGGCGCUUGAAGAGGGGCCCGCGCCUGAUUAGCUAGUUGGUGGGGUAACGGCUCACCAAGGCAACGAUCAGUAUCCGGCCUGAGAGGGCGGACGGACACACUGGGACUGAGACACGGCCCAGACUCCUACGGGAGGCAGCAGUGGGGAAUUGUUCGCAAUGGGCGCAAGCCUGACGACGCAACGCCGCGUGGAGGAUGAAGACCUUCGGGUCGUAAACUCCUUUCGAUCGAGACGAAUGGUUUCCGGGUGAACAGCCCGGGAAAAUGACGGUACCGAGAGAAGAAGCCCCGGCUAACUCCGUGCCAGCAGCCGCGGUAAUACGGGGGGGGCAAGCGUUGUUCGGAAUUACUGGGCGUAAAGGGCUUGUAGGUGGCCAACUAAGUCAGACGUGAAAUCCCUCAGCUUAACUGGGGAACUGCUUCUGAUACUGGAUGGCUUGAGUUUGGGAGAGGGAUGCGGAAUUCCAGGUGUAGCGGUGAAAUGCGUAGAUAUCUGGAGGAACACCGGUGGCGAAGGCGGCAUCCUGGACCAACACUGACACUGAAAAGCGAAAGCCAGGGGAGCAAACGGGAUUAGAUACCCCGGUAGUCCUGGCCCUAAACGAUGAAUGUUUGGUGUGGCGGGUAUCGAUC